This 718-nucleotide ribosomal RNA is filed under the name uncultured Flavobacterium sp. RNAcentral's name for it is "bacterial SSU rRNA". It matches the Rfam family "Bacterial small subunit ribosomal RNA", at positions 57 to 777 of the family's 1533-position model. The record is from RNAcentral. Lineage: Bacteria; Pseudomonadati; Bacteroidota; Flavobacteriia; Flavobacteriales; Flavobacteriaceae.
GCAGUCGAGGGGUAGAAGUCUUCGGACUUUGAGACCGGCGCACGGGUGCGUAACGCGUAUGCAAUCUACCUUUCACAGAGGGAUAGCCCAGAGAAAUUUGGAUUAAUACCUCAUAGUAUAACGACCUGGCAUCAGGAUGUUAUUAAAGUCACAACGGUGAAAGAUGAGCAUGCGUCCCAUUAGCUAGUUGGUAAGGUAACGGCUUACCAAGGCUACGAUGGGUAGGGGUCCUGAGAGGGAGAUCCCCCACACUGGUACUGAGACACGGACCAGACUCCUACGGGAGGCAGCAGUGAGGAAUAUUGGACAAUGGGCGCAAGCCUGAUCCAGCCAUGCCGCGUGCAGGAUGACGGUCCUAUGGAUUGUAAACUGCUUUUAUACGAGAAGAAACACUCCUUCGUGAAGGAGCUUGACGGUAUCGUAAGAAUAAGGAUCGGCUAACUCCGUGCCAGCAGCCGCGGUAAUACGGAGGAUCCAAGCGUUAUCCGGAAUCAUUGGGUUUAAAGGGUCCGUAGGCGGUUUAAUAAGUCAGUGGUGAAAGCCCAUCGCUCAACGGUGGAACGGCCAUUGAUACUGUUAGACUUGAAUUAUUAGGAAGUAACUAGAAUAUGUAGUGUAGCGGUGAAAUGCUUAGAGAUUACAUGGAAUACCAAUUGCGAAGGCAGGUUACUACUAAUGGAUUGACGCUGAUGGACGAAAGCGUGGGUAGCGAACAGGA